RNAcentral lists this ribosomal RNA (506 nucleotides) under uncultured bacterium. RNAcentral's name for it is "partial 16S ribosomal RNA". It matches the Rfam family "Bacterial small subunit ribosomal RNA", at positions 29 to 523 of the family's 1533-position model. The record is from RNAcentral.
AGUGAACGCUGGCGGUAGGCCUAACACAUGCAAGUCGAACGGCAGCACAGAGGAGCUUGCUCCUUGGGUGGCGAGUGGCGGACGGGUGAGGAAUACAUCGGAAUCUACUCUGUCGUGGGGGAUAACGUAGGGAAGCUUACGCUAAUACCGCAUACGACCUACGGGUGAAAGCAGGGGAUCUUCGGACCUUGCGCGAUUGAAUGAGCCGAUGUCGGAUUAGCUAGUUGGCGGGGUAAAGGCCCACCAAGGCGACGAUCCGUAGCUGGUCUGAGAGGAUGAGCAGCCACACUGGAACUGAGACACGGUCCAGACUCCUACGGGAGGCAGCAGUGGGGAAUAUUGGACAAUGGGCGCAAGCCUGAUCCAGCCAUACCGCGUGGGUGAAGAAGGCCUUCGGGUUGUAAAGCCCUUUUGUUGGGAAAGAAAUCCAUCUGGUUAAUACCCGGGUGGGAUGACGGUACCCAAAGAAUAAGCACCGGCUAACUUCGUGCCAGCAGCCGCUGUAA